RNAcentral lists this ribosomal RNA (389 nucleotides) under uncultured Gordonia sp. RNAcentral's name for it is "bacterial SSU rRNA". It matches the Rfam family "Bacterial small subunit ribosomal RNA", at positions 396 to 797 of the family's 1533-position model. Lineage: Bacteria; Bacillati; Actinomycetota; Actinomycetes; Mycobacteriales; Gordoniaceae. The record is from RNAcentral.
GCCGCGUGAGGGAUGACGGCCUUCGGGUUGUAAACCUCUUUCACCAGGGACGAAGCGCAAGUGACGGUACCUGGAGAAGAAGCACCGGCCAACUACGUGCCAGCAGCCGCGGUAAUACGUAGGGUGCGAGCGUUGUCCGGAAUUACUGGGCGUAAAGAGCUCGUAGGCGGUUUGUCGCGUCGUCUGUGAAAUUCUGCAACUCAAUUGUAGGCGUGCAGGCGAUACGGGCAGACUUGAGUACUACAGGGGAGACUGGAAUUCCUGGUGUAGCGGUGAAAUGCGCAGAUAUCAGGAGGAACACCGGUGGCGAAGGCGGGUCUCUGGGUAGUAACUGACGCUGAGGAGCGAAAGCGUGGGUAGCGAACAGGAUUAGAUACCCUGGAAGUCAA